RNAcentral lists this small nucleolar RNA (171 nucleotides) under Prunus dulcis (almond). RNAcentral's name for it is "sRNA ncRNA". Lineage: Eukaryota; Viridiplantae; Streptophyta; Magnoliopsida; Rosales; Rosaceae. The record is from RNAcentral.
GAGUGAGGAUGAGAUUGAGAGAGAGGAUAAAAGGGGAGGAUAGGAGGGAGGAGUAAUAAAAGUGAAAACAAGAACUAAAUAGAUUUCAGUUUUUAGUUCUUAUUUUCACUUUUGUUACUCUUCCCUCCCAUCCUCCCCUUACAUCUUCCCUCUCAAUCUCAUCUCCACUUU